RNAcentral lists this unclassified non-coding RNA (346 nucleotides) under soil metagenome. Its description in RNAcentral is "partial contains 5.8S ribosomal RNA, internal transcribed spacer 2, and large subunit ribosomal RNA". The stretch from base 1 to 120 matches the Rfam family "5.8S ribosomal RNA", at positions 35 to 154 of the family's 154-position model. The record is from RNAcentral.
GAUGAAGAACGUAGCGAAAUGCGAUAAGUAGUGUGAAUUGCAGAAUUCAGUGAAUCAUCGAAUCUUUGAACGCACAUUGCGCCCCUCGGUAUUCCGGGGGGCAUGCCUGUCCGAGCGUCAUUGCUGCCCUCAAGCACGGCUUGUGUGUUGGGCCCCGUCCUCCGAUUCCGGGGGACGGGCCCGAAAGGCAGCGGCGGCACCGCGUCCGGUCCUCGAGCGUAUGGGGCUUUGUCACCCGCUCUGUAGGCCCGGCCGGCGCUUGCCGAUCAACCCAAAUUUUUAUCCAGGUUGACCUCGGAUCAGGUAGGGAUACCCGCUGAACUUAAGCAUAUCAAUAAGCGGAGGA